Non-coding RNA from Malus domestica (apple), 6874 nucleotides. The record is from RefSeq and is a predicted model, not a curated record. NCBI's taxonomy places the organism in Eukaryota, Viridiplantae, Streptophyta, Magnoliopsida, Rosales, Rosaceae.
AUCAAACAAUUAAUGUCAAAACUAUAAAAAUAUAAAUAUUAAUAGUAAUAUAAUGAGGUGUACAAAGUCAAGGGACCUUGAUCAAACUUUGAAUACUAUUAAGGUUUUAAUCAAAGAAUGUUAAGGGUUAGAGACCGUAUCCAAAAUAUCCCGUAAAAUAAUGGAUGGAUAUAUUAUAACGAAGUUACCCACAAAGACUUUUGCUACAAAUCGUAAUAAGUAAUUUAGAGAGGAAUACUCACGAGUUUUUAGUUUAGGAACAUUUAACUAAUUAAGAUCCCGGGAUCAUUAUUGCUCCAAUUAAACCAUAUAUUUGUGUAUAAGCUAGUUUUAAUAGGAAUAUGUUUGUAUUUACUUCAUCUUAAACAAUAUAUAAUUGAAUUAAUGGGUUAUAUUGUCUUUCUCAUGACAUAUGGAGGGUAGCAUAUUUUUACACAACUGAAAUAUGGACUGCUAAUUAACGUUGAAGGCAAGGUUAAGAUUCUAGCACAUAUAGAUGGCUAGAGUGAUGCAUGCAAUUAGUUUUGGCCCUUUUACAUGAUCAAGGGUCAAUGGCAAGGUGAAAAUAAGGUGAUGUUGGAAAAUAAGAACUCUAGGUCUCCUCCUCCAUACAGUUAAGUAAUUUACCAUACUACGGUUCAAAUAACUUGAUCGAUUCCCUCUCUACCUUAAAAUUUGAGAAGGUAGCUAGAAAAUGGCUUAUUGUAUAUUAGCUAAUUAAGGGUAUGCAAUGCAAGGUUGAUCUGACAAUGAAUAUGAGGUUUAUGCAAGGGACUGUUCGCUUGACAAGGUUUUGCAUGGAAUGUGACACCCCAAUCGAUCGCCAACCCUCUCUUAUCUGUCAGUUUUCUAAUUGUCCCCAUUACUGCCACACCAAUAUACUGUCUUCACCGAACAUGGCGUACACCAGCCCAGGCAGCACCUGCUAUCCCGGGAUGGCAAUGAGGCGGAUCGGGUUCGGAUGUGCCAUCCUCGUACCCGAACUCGAAACCGUAGAAUCCCCAAACAGGUUUUCCCCAUAACCAAACCCAUUGGGUAACGAAUUUUCUUUCAGGCAACGGUUUUUCCCAUUAUAAUAUUUUUUAUAUUAUUAAUUAAAUAGUAAAUUUUAAAUAAAAAAUUAAAUAGAUUACUGAUACAAUGCAUAUACAUCAUAUAUUCAAUAAGAUUAAAUAUUAAAUACUAAAUAGUGUUAUUAAUACAAUUGAUACAAACAAUGCAUGUGAUAAAUGGAAGAGGAUCCUCUCCUGAGCUCAGGAUGGGGAUCCUCCUGACCAGUCCAUCUGGGCCGUUCAAACUUAAUCUAACGGUUGCAAUUAUUAUAACUUUUAGAGGGUCUGCCUGUUUGGAGCUGUUGGAUUAAAUUUGAACGACCCAGAUGGGUUGGUCAGGAGGAUCCUCAUCCUGAGCUUAGGAGAGGAUCCUCUUCCGUAAUAAAUAUUGUUAAAAACGAGAUUAAUACUAUUAAUAAUUGAUAAGAAUAUAAUUUAUAUUAUUAAUGAUUAUUGAUAACUCUCUUCUCUAUAUAAUAAAUAUUGAUAUUUUUGUAUUAAUUCAAAACCAGUUCGGUUUUGGGUAUAGGUUCGGGGCGGAUACCCCAAUAACCAUAACCAAACCCGAAACCAAAAAAUUUACAUGACGGUUACCCAUAACCGUAAAAUACCAGAAAUUUAAUCCCCAAAACCAAACCGUUCGGAUCGAUUACCUACAGAAAAUGGGUUUGAUGGGUCAAAUUGCCAUCCCUACCCGUAUGGCUAAAUAUAUAAUAGCUGAUUUAAUUUGUUUUCAAUGACCCAAGCAAAGCCCGUGGAUGACACGAUACAAGCAAUCUGGUCUUGGCUGGCAUAAACAGGCCAAUAUGGUAAGUAACUGGUGUGGAGCAAAAAAUAAUUCAGAAAAUUCUGGAGCUGACACGUGGACUUUUAUUCACAAUUGACUAGAAUGUUCUUUAUUAAAUUGGCAAUGCCCACAUCCGUUCCACACGCAGUUCAACUACAAACUAAAGAUAUAACUAAUAACUAGUUAAUUCCUACCUUUAAGCUUUCCUCAUUGAAGACAGGUCAGCCCUAGCUAUUCUACACGCUUAGGCAUCAUAUGUUCAUUGUCCCCGUCCCCCACCCCCCCCCCCCUUCCCCGUAUGUGGAGCUGCUGCUACAACAAGUAGUUCAUUGUCCCCAUCCCCACCCCCCCCACCCCCCACCCCCCAUCCUCUCCUCCCCCCUCCCCCCCCCCACCCCACAAAACACUGAGGAAUCAUAUGUCCCCGUAUGCGGAGCUCUUUCUGCACACUCCCUCUUAGUUAUGGUCUUUAAUUGUCGUACAAUCCAUAUAGGCCUCGUAUGUGGAGCUGCUCUGCCUACUUGUUCUCAUCAUGUACGAGAGUUGUAUGUAUCAAUCACAGAUGAUGAUGCAAGUAUUGUCCUUAUUGAUAUGUACAAUAAUGAUGUGCAGGAAAAGGAAGUUUCCAUACCCAGAUCAUCGCAAGGCCAAGCUAUAUGAUGACCCACUUCUGUUCCCUAGCUUGCUACAUAAUAUAAUCUGGACUGGAGUAUACGUAGAACCUCAUCAGCUUGGAGCCUGGCAAGAUCUCUGAUGAGCAGAUUAUAUAUAUUGCUUAUCCAGCUAAUUAACUCUAAAAGAAACUUAUUAAACAGCUCAUGAUCAAACUAACACAAGUAAAGCUAUCUCCAGUUUUCUAUCGUUGAUCGAGAUGUUUAAGGAGAAUGCACAUACAGUUUCCGUUAUAAAAAUGUUGGUUUGAUUUCUAGCAACAUAUAUAGUAGGAAUAUGAUCUUCCAAGCCCUACAUAUGUAGGCUGAAGUUUUUCUUUGGGUUCUUUAGAUAUAAGCCCAUGCAAUACUUAUUUUCUUGACAAAAACUCAUUUCGUUUUAAACAUCCAAAUAAAACCUAAAUUUGAAAUAAACUGUCAUGUAAAUAAAUAAAUACCUAUUAUUUUCAAAAUAUUUACAAUUGUGCCACAACACCCUAAUUAUGUUGAUGAAUUUAAUUAUCCACCAUAAUCAUGGCAAAUAAGUGCUUUAUUAUUACAAAAGUAUAUGCUUUAUACUUGUCUUACCAUCAUCUGUUCCAUUCGUAUAUUUGUUUGACAAUCAUUUUAGGUAUGGUAAAUUAUUUUGCAUGUAUACAUUAGGCACAUUUUGUUAUUAUUAUAUCUGUGUGAAAUAAAUUACCUAUGUUUUUAAGUAGAAUAUAGGUAAUUAAUAAACUUUGAAUCAAUUGGCUAAAAACAUCCUUGCAUUUUGUAGGUAAACUAUUUUGCAUGUAUUAUUACAUAUACUAGGCACAUUUGUUAUUAUUAUGUGUUGUUUGCAAUCAAUCAACAUUCAUUUAUUCUGUAGGUAAAUUAUUUUGCAUGUAUUAUUACAUAUGUUAGACACGUUUUGAUAUUAUUAUUGGUAAUUUUGACUAAAACAACAUUUGUAUAUUUGUGAAAAAUACUAAUUUACCUGUUACAAUUAUUUGAAAAGGAAAAAAAAAUGCUCAUUUUACAUAAAUGAGAAAACAACUAUAUAAGGAAUCAAAACUCUAAUAUCAUGUAAUUUUUGUUAUUAAUAUGCAUUGGAAAUCAAGACACUAAAAUUUUUCUUUUCCAAAUAUGCAUAAACGUUUUAAAAUGUUUAAUUGAAUGAAAUAAUAUAAAAUAAAUGUAGAUAACAAGUAAUAGACCCAAAGUCAAUGAUAUUAGGGGUAAUUUUGACAUCCAAAAAUACCAAUUUUGCCAAGUCAUACUUAAUUAUGGAUAUUGCUUGGUUGGAGCCUAGUCAUUGGGUUUUUAUUAGAAAAAUUUUACAAUUGUGGGUUUUAGUUAAUAAAAAUUGAAUUCUAAGGGGUAUACUCAUAUUUUCAGUAUAGGUCAAAUUAAGUUUAUGUAUAAUGCAGUAUUGAAGAAGUUGAGGUUCCAUUAUAAAACUACGUGGCAAUAUAUGGAGAAGGCCAACUACUUAUAAGCGCAUACAAUAUAGAGAGAAGUCCAACAAAAACAUGAAAAACCAAAAAAAAAAAAAAAAAAAAACCUCCAAAAGGCUAAUUGGUUUUUUUUUUGUUCAAGUUGCCAACGAGGUGUCUCAUCUGAAACCUCCAAAGCAAGAAAUAAGCCAAUCCCAACCCGAUCAAAACGAAGAUCCAAACACCGUCUUCCUUGCUCUCCUGAGUUUGACACGAGCACAUCUAGUAUUCGACCCUCGGAUUCUAUCGACAUUUCAGAAUCACACGAGCACAGCCUUUUGUAAUAAUACCCUAGUUCCCUUCCACAUCAGCAGAUAUUUUUAUAUUGAUGAAUCCACAUGGGAUAAUUUACCUUAUUCAAUCAUGCAUGCAUCCUACAAUAUUUAAACAAACAAAUUAGUUUGAGUGGUGUGAUUUUCUUUCCACACGAGUUCGAACUCCUUUUUAAUAAUUUAAACGAGUUUACAUCACUUGCAUAUAUAAAAAAAAUCUAGUGUAUUUAUUGUCCAAAUAUCAUGAAAUUUCGGCCAACCAUCAAGGGGUACUUUCAAGAAAUCUGUUAAAAGAGAACAAAUUAAGGUGUAUAUAAUCAUCCGAAGCAAAAAAGUAACAUGAAACAAAUGAGUGGAAAGUGAGCUAGCUAAUGAAUUAAAGGUAAUUUUAGAAAGAUUGAUUAUUUAAAUUAAAUUUUGUAAACUAUAUGAAGUGAUUGUUGACGAUUGAAUUAUUAUUUGAGUGUGAUUAAUGUGUUUAUUUACUAUCCCUGACACAACAUAUAAUUUACCAAUUGAGAAAUAUUUAGGAAACUUUUUCAAAGUGAGACUCUUCGUGAACUCUCUAUCACCUCACAGUUUAACGUUAAUUCUCGUACCAAUACUAUCAAAUAUUGUAUAAAAAAACAUAAGAUAAAAGAGAGUCUAUGAAGAUUCCCACUUUUGAAAGUUUACUUAGUAUUUCUCUUAAAAUUUAGUCCGAAAAACUAAUAUGCUUAGCAUUACUUGUGAAUUAAUCAAAAGCUAUAAAGUAAGUGGUCCACCGCGUUAAAAGUUUUACAUGAAUGUCGGACUAUAUAUGUUGUCCUAAAUCCCUAAUGUGACAGCUGAUACAAUUUACACCGUCCGUUGAUCCUAUAUCAAUGAAUCUUACCUAUAAUUAACUAUUUAUUAUGAGAGGGAAACACAACAAUUAAAUAUCGAUUAGUCAAUGAUCUGUCACGUGUAAAGUUUUAGCUGACAUGAAGAUCCGUAUAGAAUUCGCACGCUCCACCAAUGAUUUGUAAUUGAAAGUGAUAAACCAUGGAAAGGUUCCUUCUUAUCUCUAUAAAAUGAAGCUCAAACCAGCAGCUGUAUUGCACCUCCCAGUUAGGUCUCUUGCUCAAAAGACCACGUUCUUCUCCCUCCCUUCUUCCGCUUUGACAAAAUAAAGAAAUCUAGAACAAGUCAACAAAUAUAUAUGAUCGAGGAUCGCGGAUGUGUUGAUGUGUUUUGAUAUGGGUGAGUGGAUUUCAUGCUAUGCUUGUCAAGUGAGCAGUACCUUUGCAAAUAAUCUUAGUUUCGUUGUCUGUUCGACCUGAAACCUAAGGUAAUUAAAGGUUAGGCAUAGUACCCUUGAAAACCCUAAUUAGAAAGUAAUCAUGUUUUUUCUCUUUCUAAAUUAAUCAACUUGAUUGAUCAUCUAAGAAGUUAAACAAGGCAGCUUAUUAGUAGAUAACUAGCUAUUUAUUCUGUGUCAUCUUGGAGUAUGACCUAGUAGUUGAUCGAGAUCGACUGCAGUAACCUAUAAAUUUAUUGAGUUAUGCAUAAAACAGUCAUUAAACUAGAACGGAAAAAAAAAGCAAAAACUCCCAAGCUAAUCCAGUUUAUAUAUAUGCGUUUAUCAGAUUCAUUUGGGAAGUGGUUUAGGUAUCUUUUGGCUUUCCUUCUUUUCCUUUUGAAAUAUGAAGAAGAAAGAAAUUGAAAGAAAUAGUAAUAGGCUGGCUAUAAGUUGCGAAGUACCACUUUUGUGGUAAUUUAACAUCAUAAUUUUGAUAAUCGUUGGAAUUUUACCCUAGUUAUUGCGGCUGCGGCCACCAACUUUCUAUUUUCAGGUGUAUGUGGGUUAUACUAAUUGAAUUGGAUUUGAAACUAAUCUAGUUACCAAAUUAGAUAAAGCUACUUAUUACACUAAAGUAGUAUUUCCUUGGUUUCGAACUGUAGAAUGUAAUUAGCAUGAGCCGUAUAAGCAAGUCCUUAAUUAAUUAGAAAAAUAAUGUGGUUUAGGGUUUACCUAGUGGUGACUAGCUAGCCUGCUACCAUAGAAUGUUGAUAGGUCGAAGAGACAGCGAGCCUGAGGAAUAAGCAAGAGACUGUUCAUUUGACAAGGGUUUGCAUGGAAUUCAACAUCUUGAUUCUUGACCUUAUGUUUGCAUAUGAAGUUUAUUAGGAAGCGGAUCAACUUUCAUCAGAAAGGUGAUUAUGCCCAGAUAAUUCACUUCGUCUCUCUUAGCCUAAUCUAAUCAACUUUUCUUUCUUUCUUCAAAUUAAUAAAUUUAAUGUUUCUUGACAAAUUUCAACAUGUGAUUUGUGAUGAUGCAUGGAGGCUCAACUCACAGUGAAGGGACGAUGGAGGAUCAUGAUCAGUUGCUACUUAGAGGCUCGAUUUGAUACAAAUGCCAAGAUUUGGAGCAAACAGCGAAGAGUCAACGGUUCACUACUAUAUAAUUACAUUGACAUUAUUUCCCAGCUUGCAUUAUAUAUUACUUGCAUAACACAAUAAAUAUUGUGGAGUUUGUAUCAUAAAAUGUCUCGAUGUAAUUAGACAUGAAACAACUAAACAUAAGUCAUUCGAUUUUGUUAAUAUUCCAAUGUGAAAUUCUUGUAUUUUUAUUUUGUUACCAGUAUAUAAUGUGAAAUUCAUAAACCUUUUUUA